ACCUCAGUUAAUUUGUUAAACCAAAUUUUCAAACUGAUCUUUGUGUUGCUUUAUUUAACAACUUUGAUAUAUGAAACGAUUAUCAGACUACAUGCGUACACAUUGAAGAACGCUUUUCUGAAAAAAACAACAGAAGUGUGCAUGUUUAGGAACCUCGAUUUAUGAAAGGAGCAUAAGCCUAUGUUGAGGUACAUCCAAACAAGCUCUUCUGAAAGCAACAAAAGUGUGCUUAUCCCCGAAACGAUGCAAGACGUCAGUACAUGAAAAUGCUCAUCUGACUGGAAGCUCAUUGCCAUGCGCACCAGCCACAGCGUCGAAUUCACAAGCCUCUGAAGUCCGUGCAGGUUUCGGUCAUUAACACCUCUGUGUGGUAAAGUCCAGUGAAUCAAGACUUAGCAGAUGGCGUCGGCAACAGCAUCGCCGUCGAUCGGAGCUCACAGCAAGGAGGAGAUCAAUCAGCUGGAGCAAACUGCUACCUACAUGCUGCUGCCUUGCCU
Pollicipes pollicipes is the source of this 497-nucleotide long non-coding RNA. RefSeq lists it as uncharacterized. NCBI's taxonomy places the organism in Eukaryota, Metazoa, Arthropoda, Thecostraca, Pollicipedomorpha, Pollicipedidae. The transcript is spliced from 3 exons. The record is from RefSeq and is a predicted model, not a curated record.